This 253-nucleotide ribosomal RNA is filed under the name uncultured bacterium. RNAcentral's name for it is "partial 16S ribosomal RNA". It matches the Rfam family "Bacterial small subunit ribosomal RNA", at positions 524 to 776 of the family's 1533-position model. The record is from RNAcentral.
UACGUAGGGACCAAGCGUUGUUCGGAUUUACUGGGCGUAAAGGGCGCGUAGGCGGCGCGGUACGUCACUUGUGAAAUCUCUGAGCUUAACUCAGAACGGCCAAGUGAUACUGCAGUGCUAGAGUGUGGAAGGGGCAAUCGGAAUUCUUGGUGUAGCGGUGAAAUGCGUAGAUAUCAAGAGGAACACCUGAGGUGAAGACGGGUUGCUGGGCCAACACUGACGCUGAGGCGCGAAAGCAAGGGGAGCAAACGGG